UUUGUAAUGUCCAAGACAUUGUAUUUAUUUGUAAUAAAUGUGGCUAAAUUUUUAAUAAUGUUCAUUGAAAACAUAAUGCGUAUUAGGCCAUAAUAAUAUUUUGGUCUUCGAUACGCCCUGCUUUACCGACCUUUUUCAAUUUGAUAACGUUGAUGCGGCUGAAGACAACAGCCUGAUUUCAGAACUGUUAUGCUGUUAAGCCUUAAGUAUAUUUUAAGUAAAAAUACUCAUUUCAUCACUUACCAUACUAUUCAUGUGCGACCCGCAUCCAAAAAUAUUGCCUUCAACGAAAGAGUUGUUCAGAUAGUUAAAUCUACGUUUAGUUUAAGGUACUACUAGGUGCGCAGCAGAAAGUGCUGUUCAUGUCGUCAGCCCUUACACAAGAUUGAAACAAUAUUUUCAAGAGUACAAGACGAUUCCCUAGUUGGAUAAAAUGUGUAUCGCACGGAUUUUAGUUAUAGCGGCAGCUGAGAGAAAUCAAAAACAUUAAUACUAAUUUAAACAAACGCCUCCAACGAAAUCUCAGUGCCGGUUUAUUGCUGUAGCGGAGAUAACGGUAGGAGGUGUUCGAUAGAAACCAAAAAUGAAGGAUCUUAACAGAAGGACUUGGGUAGGAGAUCGAAAACGAUAUGAGAAGUGUAAUUCAGGUAAGUUUUCUUUGCAGUGAUGCUUUAUCAGGAAUAAUCCCGCACAAUAUAUCACUCGCAUACAGUAAGUAAAGUUAUUGUGAGCGGCAAAACAUCUAAUAUUGAUGGAGAUGGCAAUUCAAUGUGGGAAAAUUAGUAAAUUCAUAUGGAAGUAAUAAUAG
This is a long non-coding RNA of Topomyia yanbarensis, 808 nucleotides long. RefSeq lists it as uncharacterized. The transcript is spliced from 4 exons. The record is from RefSeq and is a predicted model, not a curated record. NCBI's taxonomy places the organism in Eukaryota, Metazoa, Arthropoda, Insecta, Diptera, Culicidae.